Molecule: RNA transcript, 4211 nt
Organism: Cydia pomonella (codling moth)
Lineage: Eukaryota; Metazoa; Arthropoda; Insecta; Lepidoptera; Tortricidae
Gene: Tmtc4
Gene name: protein O-mannosyl-transferase TMTC4
Exons: 12
Source: RefSeq, a predicted model, not a curated record
ACCGAAGAAAAAAUGCUGCUCCAUAGAAAUCAUUAACAUAUAUUAUGAUUCGCCGAAAUGUAUGAAAUAGCAGAAUGUUUUAUUUGCGUUUUCGGUGUUGGCCCAAUAGUAAAAGUGUAGAUAUUUCCUUUAAAUACUACACUAAACCCAGAACCUAUGCCCUGAAUUUCAAUCAAUCAAUCAAUCAUCAAUUAUUGCACCAUGGUAAAAAUCAAAAGUUGUUACAGUAUUUAUACAAGUACCUAAUGGACCCUAAAAGGAUAUGACAAACUUUUCCUUAAACUAAGAUAUAUAAACUAUUUACAUAUGUCAUGCAAUAAAGCACAUAAGGCAGCAUCGUAUGCAAUGAUAUAUCUAAAUAAAACUAAGUACCUAUGUUACAUAAUAAAGCUAUCUGCGAAGAAAUCUUUAAAAGAGUAAUACACUUUUCUCACAAGGAAACAUUUCAAUUUUUUUGCGUAUCCUGUAUCCCUUUCUUCAGCCUUCAUAUAGUCUGGAAUAUGAUUGUAGCAUUUAGCUGCUGCAUAAAGAGGGUUUUUCCUAUGUAUUUGUAAUUUAGGCGCGGGUAGCUCAAGUUUGUAUUUUAACCUUCGGUUUGGUAGCUGUCUGAACAAGUGUAUGUUUUUACAACUUAAGGUGGCCUGCAUUCUCUGUCCUACACCAACGAAUAGCUGUUGAUGCCCGGAUCCAGUACUAAUAAGGAUAGCAUAGCCAACUAACUCUUUACUCUCUAACAGGUAGAUACUAUCAAAAAGAGCAUUUGACAUUCUCUUUGGUGCUAUUUCCCGGGGCGAACUCUCCGGUUAAAAAAGAUCGUAAAAUCGUGUCGUUACCGUGGAUGACCAUAUAAAAUAAAGUAUAAAAGCGCCUGAUGUGGAGAGGUUUAAGCGCUUCACACAAUUCACUUCAUUCUGAAAUUCUUAUUCAUAAAAUUUUACAAGCAUAAUUUAGUUAAUUCGUGUUUCAUCAAAUACAUACAAUUGAGGCUUGUGGCGCAUUUAUGAAUAACACCAUUAGCCAUACGUGUAACCGUAUUUAGAACAUUUUAGCAUUGUAGUCUGACUGGUGACUGCACUAACUAGGAACAUAUAAUUUUAUUAUCCUAGUUAGGUUGCCAUUAGUAUUAGUACUACUGAAUUAGGCUACGGAGACUGCUUACCAUCAGGCGGGCCGUAUCAGCCGUAUGCUUGUUUGCCACCGACGUAGUAUAAAAAAAAUAAACCCUUUGUAUGCAAUCAUAUAUGGCAGUUAUAAUAUUCAACUCUAUUGAGAGAUAUUAAAGUUCAAGUUUAAACAAAAUAUUUUUUAUGUCAUGCGUUAAGGGGGGGUGUGUGAAGCGCGUUAAAUAAGAUCAAUAACUACGGCCCGUUCGGAUAUCGCCUCGGGUUGUUAGAUUUGAUUAUAGAUUAUUUAAUUAUAAAGUAGAAUAAAAUUAGGUGCGAAAAAUAUCUUAAUUUACCCUUAUGUAGAAAAUAUUGAAGACAGUGUAUUAUUCCUAAUUUCGUUUUGAACUGCAAAAAAAAUGCACGACGGUGAAAUAUCUGGCAAUAUCAAAUCGGUCAUAUAUUUAAUAAAUGACAAAUGUUUGACAGUUGGGUGUGCAACUGUGCAUGGUGAACGGCUUUCUCGGUAAUAAAUAAAUAUGUUUGAAUGCCGGCUCGGUAAAACUAUAAAAAUACCAAACCAUCACUGAAAAUAACACCGGAUAAUGUUUUAAUCGCAUUGAUCAGAUUGUAACUAGUAUUAUGUGUAUAUUAAGGAACCUUAACAGGAAUUUAAAAGAUCCAGGCGCUAAAAAAAUCCUAAAGUUUGUAAGCGUACUUUGCGCAUCUAGUUUACCGUUUAUCUUCACUUUAAGUGGCGAUUUCGUUUUCGAUGAUUCUGAAGCCAUUAUCAAAAAUGAAGCCGUGACAUCUGAAUCCUGGCUUGAGUCGUUUUACACUGACUUUUGGGGCACAAACAUCACAAGUAAUCUAAGCCAUAAAUCUUACCGGCCUCUCACGGUGUGGUCUUUCAGGCUGAACUAUCAAUUGGGUCAGAAAAAACUUUCUGCAGUGGAAUUUAAGGCAACAAAUCUCGUCUGCCACAUUGUUAGCUGUCUACUUCUUUGGUUGACGUUAAGGAGUAUUUUAGGAAGAUUAAAAAAACACAAAUGCAAAAAAUGCAUAGAUGUUGGUUGGGUAACAACACUGGUAUUUGCAGUGCACCCUGUGCAUGUGGAAGCAGUCAGUGGCGCCGUGGGACGGGCUGACGUUCUCGCCGCCAUAGCCUUCUUCUUAGCAUUCCUAUUUUACAACCAAGCUAUUUACAAGAAAAGACUGCAUUAUUUUUACCUGACAGCCACAAUAUUACUGGCUACAAUGUCCAUGCUUUUUAAAGAAAAUGGCAUCACAGUUCUGGGUGUCUGCCUUUGUUAUGACUUUAUAAUCAUAUGCAAAGAAGACAAUAGAUCAAGAUCAAGGAAGAGAAAACAGUUUUAUGAUGACAUUCAAUUAUUACCCAGUGCAGAGGUAAUCAUAAGAAUCACAGUAAUAGUGUUAGCCAUAAUGCUGCUCUUGUAUGGCAGAUGGAUUAUAAUGGGAGGAGCACCACCAAAUUUUAAAGCAACAGACAAUCCGGCAUCCUUUAGUGACAGCAAAAUUACAAAGAUAUUCACAUUCAGUUACCUGUAUGUGCUAAAUAUCCUUCUGUUGAUUUGGCCACAGUGGCUCUGCUACGACUGGUCAAUGGGAUGUGUCCCUCUCCUCGAACACAUCUUAGAUGUCAGACUUGUUUUUGUACUGGCUAUGUAUUUUUAUGGGGCAGUUGUUGUGAUAACAUUCUUCAAAGCAAGAAAAAAACGAGAUAAAUGGAUUAAAUUAAUGGCUCUGCUGUUAAUGGGACUGCCAUUCUUGCCUGCUGCCAAUAUAUUCUACCCCGUUGGAUUUGUCAUAGCUGAACGAGUCCUGUACAUACCUUCAGCUGGGUAUUGCUUCUACAUGGUCUUUGGAUUGAAUAAAAUAUGCCAUACCAAACUAGUUGCCAAAAAGAUGGCAUCCAUUCCUUAUUAUGCAGUCAUUUUACUAAUAUGCAUUUUUGCAUUAAAAAGUUAUGAAAGGUCUUAUGACUGGCAAAACGAGCAUGCAUUAUUCCUGAGUGGUACAGAAGUGUGCCCUUUGAAUGCUAAAGUCCAUUAUAAUGUUGCAAAAGCAGCUGAUGCUAAACACCAAUAUGACUUUGCUUUGAUGGAGUAUAAAGAGGCGAUAAGGUUGUAUCCGGAGUAUUACCAAGCCAUGAACAAUCUAGCCAAUUUACUUAAAAACCAAAAGAUGUACUCAGAAGCUGAAUACUAUCUACGAAAAGCUAUUGAGCACAAGUACAGCUUUCCGGCAGCGUGGAUGAACCUAGGCAUAGUCCUGGCGAGCACCGGGAGGUACGAUCAGGCGCAGGAGGCCUACGCGAAUGCGCUGAGGUACCGCAACAACUACCCGGAUUGCCUUUACAACUUGGGGAAUCUGUAUCUCGACACAAAGAAAACUGCUCACGCACUAGAAAGUUGGCUGCAUGCAAUAAAACUGAAACCUGGACAUAGACUUGCAUGGACGAACAUACUUGCGCUCUUGGAUAACACAGGCCAAUUUGAUAGAGCACUCCAAAUAAUACCCCUUGCUCUCGCGUCGGUCCCUGAAGCGCCGUCGGUCCAUUUCGCUACCGCGAACAUCUUCGGCAAGAUGGGACGGUACGAAAUAGCCGAAAAACACUUUCUCAAAGCCAUUGAUCUGUUUGGGCCAAGAGUGCAGGCAAUACAUUAUGCUAACCUAGGCGUACUAUAUCAUCGAUGGAAGAAGUACAGUGACGCCGAACGAAUGUACAAACGUGCAUUGAAAAUUCAAUCUAAUUUUAAAAGUGCUCAGAAAAAUCUUCACACUCUGAAACGGUUGAAUUUGAUAACAUAAACGUUAAUCUUUUUUUUGCUUAGCUUUAUUGAUUCUGCUGAGUAUCAUGAUAUGUAAACUUUUGAAAACAAGGGUACCUCCCUUACACGUAAAGUGAGGGUGAACAAUUUUUUUUGCUUCAACCCUACAGUGUGGGAUAUCGUUGGAAAGGUCUUUCAAAACUAAUAGGGGUCUUCAACAAACAUUUCUUGAUAAAGUGAAUAUAUUCGGAGAUAAUUGCUCCGAAAGAAACAAAAAUAUAUGUGUCCCCCCCCCCCUCUAACUUUUGAACCAUAG